UGAUUAUAGAAAGACCCACGUGGUUGUCUG
Molecule: non-coding RNA, 30 nt
Filed under: Mus musculus (house mouse)
Lineage: Eukaryota; Metazoa; Chordata; Mammalia; Rodentia; Muridae
Source: RNAcentral